Molecule: small nucleolar RNA, 128 nt
Filed under: Macleaya cordata
Lineage: Eukaryota; Viridiplantae; Streptophyta; Magnoliopsida; Ranunculales; Papaveraceae
Source: RNAcentral
GAGUAUAGUUAGCAAGUCUCUGAGCCUCUUUUGAUCUGCGGACUACUAAAAUUUAUUCUGUAAUUAGAAUCUCCGUGCCUUUCAAAUUUCCUUUGUUUUGAUUAUGGCUUCGAACUAGUUGCUACAUU